Molecule: ribosomal RNA, 497 nt
Filed under: uncultured bacterium
Lineage: Bacteria
Description: partial 16S ribosomal RNA
Rfam family: Bacterial small subunit ribosomal RNA
Source: RNAcentral
GAUGAACGCUGGCGGCGUGCCUAAUACAUGCAAGUCGAGCGAACAGACGAGGAGCUUGCUCCUCUGACGUUAGCGGCGGACGGGUGAGUAACACGUGGAUAACCUACCUAUAAGACUGGGAUAACUUCGGGAAACCGGAGCUAAUACCGGAUAAUAUAUUGAACCGCAUGGUUCAAUAGUGAAAGACGGUUUUGCUGUCACUUAUAGAUGGAUCCGCGCCGCAUUAGCUAGUUGGUAAGGUAACGGCUUACCAAGGCGACGAUGCGUAGCCGACCUGAGAGGGGGAUAGCCGACACUGGAACUGAGACACGGACCAGACUACUACGGGAGGCAGCAGUAGGGAAUCUUCCGCAAUGGGCGAAAGCCUGACGGAGCAACGCAGCGUGAGUGAUGAAGGUCUUCGGAUCGUAAAACUCUGUUAUGAGGGAAGAACAAAUGUGUAAGUAACUAUGCACGUCGUGACGGUACCUAAUCAGAAAGCCACGGCUAACUACGUG